Molecule: transfer RNA, 75 nt
Filed under: Calothrix sp. NIES-4101
Lineage: Bacteria; Bacillati; Cyanobacteriota; Cyanophyceae; Nostocales; Calotrichaceae
Description: tRNA-Val
Rfam family: tRNA
About the family: Transfer RNA (tRNA) molecules are approximately 80 nucleotides in length. Their secondary structure includes four short double-helical elements and three loops (D, anti-codon, and T loops).
Source: RNAcentral
GGACGUAUAGCUCAGUUGGUUAGAGUACGUCGUUGACAUCGACGGGGUCACUGGUUCGAAUCCAGUUACGUCCAC